RNAcentral lists this small RNA (307 nucleotides) under uncultured bacterium. RNAcentral describes it as "bacterial SSU rRNA". It matches the Rfam family "Bacterial small subunit ribosomal RNA", at positions 42 to 336 of the family's 1533-position model. The record is from RNAcentral.
GCGUCCCUAACUCAAGGGAGUAAGAANGGGGAGUGUAGCAAUAUACUCCAAGUGGCGAACUUGUCAGUAACGCGUAGACAACCUACCUUCUAGAUGGGGACAACACCGCGAAAGUGGUGCUAAUACCGAAUGUUGUAUCUUUGGCCCAUGCUGAAGAUACUAAAGGUGGCCUCUUAGCAAUGCUACCGCUAGAAGACGGGUCUGCGUCUGAUUAGCUAGUAGGCGGGGUAAAAGCCCGCCUAGGCGACGAUCAGUAGCCGGUCUGAGAGGAUGAACGGCCACACUGGGACUGAGACACGGCCCAGAC